RNAcentral lists this ribosomal RNA (118 nucleotides) under Periophthalmus magnuspinnatus. Lineage: Eukaryota; Metazoa; Chordata; Actinopteri; Gobiiformes; Gobiidae. The record is from RNAcentral.
GAUUUUGGCCAAGCAUCGUUGUCAAAGCCUGAUCUCAUCAGAUCUCAGAAGCUAAGCAAGCCUGAGUCUGAUUAGUGCUUCAGUGGAAGACUGCUGGGAAUUUCACGUGCCACAGUGG